Amylostereum chailletii is the source of this 91-nucleotide non-coding RNA. NCBI's taxonomy places the organism in Eukaryota, Fungi, Basidiomycota, Agaricomycetes, Russulales, Stereaceae. The record is from the annotation of a GenBank genome assembly.
GCCGGGAUAGCUCAGCUGGGAGAGCAACAGACUGAAGUACUACAGCAAGGAGGCGUUCUGGAGGUCCCGUGUUCAAUCCACGGUCCUGGCA